AUCAGAAGAAUGGUUAUCUAUCGCAGAACGUUUUGAAGAUUGAAAAAUUCCAUCUAACUAUGGUAUCCCGACAUCAAGUACUGCGGGGAUGCUGAACACCGGAAUCCAUUACUGACAAAGGAUAAAUGAAUAAGAACAUUCCAAGUUUCUCAACAACAGUUCAACAUAUGGGUUUCAAGGAGCUGAAAGAGGCUGACAAGGAAAGCAACGGUGUGCUACCAGUCAUUACGGCCACUUCUCCCAAGCAACUGGUGAAGGAAGAUGAGGGGACUGUGGUUCACGGGUUGGUGAAGGCGCCAACGAAUCGGACGGUGGCCUUGAUGAGACCAUAGAUAUGCGUCGCUUUGGUGGAGAUGCAGCUUGUGGUGUCGGCAGAUCUGGACAGUGUCUUUUAUGUGCCACGUGUUUCUGCGUGGCUGUUCCGUGGCUUGUGCGCAUUUGCACAGUCGGGUGAUGACGGGAUGAACCUAUUUGCAAAAUUUGUACAUUAUUAUUUUGUAAAAAUACUUUGCAGCCACCUUAAGCGUCAUUUCAAUAAUACAUUA
This is a long non-coding RNA of Pseudophryne corroboree (corroboree frog), 545 nucleotides long. RefSeq lists it as uncharacterized. The record is from RefSeq and is a predicted model, not a curated record. The transcript has 3 exons. NCBI's taxonomy places the organism in Eukaryota, Metazoa, Chordata, Amphibia, Anura, Myobatrachidae.